GAUGAAGAACGUAGCGAAAUGCGAUAAGUAGUGUGAAUUGCAGAAUUCAGUGAAUCGUCGAAUCUUUGAACGCACAUUGCGCCUUCUAGUAUUCUGGGAGGCAUGCCUGUUUGAGCGUCAUUAAACCUCUCUCAAGUAUGAUUACUUGGAUGUGAAGGAAGAGUACCUUAAACUUAAGGAGUGUUCUCCUUUGAAAUUGAUUAGCAGAUGGUAAUGUUAUUAAAUCCCUGAUGUUGUAAGAAAUAACAGUGGUUUUGUAGACUAUUAUCUAGCUUUAAAUUAUAAUUUUUAUUAUGGUUGACCUCAAAUCAGGUAAGGAUACCCGCUGAACUUAAGCAUAUCAAUAAGCGGAGGA
This 355-nucleotide unclassified non-coding RNA is filed under the name soil metagenome. Its description in RNAcentral is "partial contains 5.8S ribosomal RNA, internal transcribed spacer 2, and large subunit ribosomal RNA". The stretch from base 1 to 120 matches the Rfam family "5.8S ribosomal RNA", at positions 35 to 154 of the family's 154-position model. The record is from RNAcentral.